RNAcentral lists this ribosomal RNA (253 nucleotides) under uncultured bacterium. RNAcentral's name for it is "partial 16S ribosomal RNA". It matches the Rfam family "Bacterial small subunit ribosomal RNA", at positions 524 to 776 of the family's 1533-position model. The record is from RNAcentral.
UACGUAGGGUGCGAGCGUUAAUCGGAAUUACUGGGCGUAAAGCGUGCGCAGGCGGUUUGUUAAGACAGAUGUGAAAUCCCCGGGCUUAACCUGGGAACUGCGCUUGUUACUGAUAGGCUUGAGUGUGGCAGAGGGGGGUGGAAUUCCACGUGUAGCAGUGAAAUGCGUAGAGAUGUGGAGGAACACCGAUGGCGAAGGCAGCCCCCUGGGCUAACACUGACGCUCAUGCACGAAAGCGUGGGGAGCAAACAGG